This 507-nucleotide ribosomal RNA is filed under the name uncultured bacterium. RNAcentral describes it as "partial 16S ribosomal RNA". It matches the Rfam family "Bacterial small subunit ribosomal RNA", at positions 28 to 507 of the family's 1533-position model. The record is from RNAcentral.
GACGAACGCUGGCGGCGUGCCUAAUACAUGCAAGUCGAACGCAUUUUCUUUCACCGUAGCUUGCUACACCGAAAGAAAAUGAGUUGCGAACGGGUGAGUAACACGUGGGUAACCUGCCCAUCAGCGGGGGAUAACACUUGGAAACAGGUGCUAAUACCGCAUAAUUCCAUUUACCGCAUGGUAAAUGGAUGAAAGGCGCUUUUGCGUCACUGAUGGAUGGACCCGCGGUGCAUUAGCUAGUGGGUGGGGUAACGGCCUACCAAGGCUGGGAUGCAUAGCAGACCUGAGAGGGUGAUAGGCCACGCUGGGACUGGGACGCGGCCCAGACUCCUACGGGAGGCAGCAGUAGGGAACCUUCGGCAAUGGAGGCAAGGCUGACCGAGCAACGCCGCGUGGGUGCAGGAGGUUUUCGGAUCGUAAAACUCAGUUGUUAGGGAAGAACAAGGAUGAGAGUGAAAAGUUAAGCACUUGACGGUAUCUAACCAGAAAGCCACGGCUAACUACGUG